Molecule: ribosomal RNA, 939 nt
Filed under: Fibroporia radiculosa
Lineage: Eukaryota; Fungi; Basidiomycota; Agaricomycetes; Polyporales; Fibroporiaceae
Description: LSU rRNA
Rfam family: Eukaryotic large subunit ribosomal RNA
Source: RNAcentral
AGCAUAUCAAUAAGCGGAGGAAAAGAAACUAACAAGGAUUCCCCUAGUAACUGCGAGUGAAGCGGGAAAAGCUCAAAUUUAAAAUCUGGCAGUCUUUGAUUGUCCGAGUUGUAGUCUGGAGAAGUGCUUUCCGCGCUGGACCGUGUACAAGUCCCUUGGAACAGGGCGUCAUAGAGGGUGAGAAUCCCGUCUUUGACACGGACUACCAGUGCUUUGUGAUGCGCUCUCAAAGAGUCGAGUUGUUUGGGAAUGCAGCUCAAAAUGGGUGGUAAAUUCCAUCUAAAGCUAAAUACAGGCGAGAGACCGAUAGCGAACAAGUACCGUGAGGGAAAGAUGAAAAGCACUUUGGAAAGAGAGUUAAACAGUACGUGAAAUUGCUGAAAGGGAAACGCUUGAAGUCAGUCGCGUCUUUCGGAAAUCAGCCUUGCAUUUAUUUGUUUGGUGUAUUUUCUGUUUGACGGGCCAACAUCGAUUUUAAUCGUUGGAUAAAGAUAAAGGAAAUGUGGCACCUUCGGGUGUGUUAUAGUCUUUUAUUGCAUACAACGGUCGGGAUCGAGGAACUCAGCACGCCUUUAUUGGUCGGGGUUCGCCCACGUUUCGUGCUUAGGAUGUUGGCAUAAUGGCUUUAAACGACCCGUCUUGAAACACGGACCAAGGAGUCUAACAUACCUGCGAGUGUUUGGGUGUUAAACCCGAGCGCGUAAUUAAAGUAAUAGUUGAGAUCCCCCUUAAAAGGGAGCAUCGACGCCCGGACUUGACCUUUUGUGAUAGCUCUGCGGUAGAGCAUGUAUGUUGGGACCCGAAAGAUGGUGAACUAUGCCUGAAUAGGGUGAAGCCAGAGGAAACUCUGGUGGAGGCUCGUAGCGAUUCUGACGUGCAAAUCGAUCGUCAAAUUUGGGUAUAGGGGCGAAAGACUAAUCGAACCAUCUAGUAGCUGGU